AAUCAACGCUGGCGGCGUGCCUAACACAUGCAAGUCGAACGCGAAAGUGGAGCAAUCCAUGAGCGGCAGACGGGAGAGUAACACGUGGGAACGUACCCUUCAGUUCGGAACAACCAAGGGAAACUUUGGCUAAUACCGGAUACGUCCGUAAGGAGAAAGAUUUAUCGCUGAAGGAUCGGCCCGCGUCUGAUUAGCUUGUUGGUGAGGUAACGGCUCACCAAGGCGACGANCAGUAGCUGGUCUGAGAGGAUGAUCAGCCUCAUUGGGACUGAGACACGGCCCAAACUCCUACGGGAGGCAGCAGUGGGGAAUAUUGGACAAUGGGCGCAAGCCUGAUCCAGCCAUGCCGCGUGGAUGAUGAAGGCCCUAGGGUUGUAAAGUCCUUUCGGCGGGGAAGAUAAUGACGGUACCCGCAGAAGAAGCCCCGGCUAACUUCGUGCCAGCAGCCGCGGUAAG
Molecule: ribosomal RNA, 456 nt
Filed under: uncultured bacterium
Lineage: Bacteria
Description: bacterial SSU rRNA
Rfam family: Bacterial small subunit ribosomal RNA
Source: RNAcentral